RNAcentral lists this ribosomal RNA (229 nucleotides) under uncultured bacterium. RNAcentral's name for it is "partial 16S ribosomal RNA". It matches the Rfam family "Bacterial small subunit ribosomal RNA", at positions 794 to 1018 of the family's 1533-position model. The record is from RNAcentral.
UCCACGCAGUAAACGAUGAAUGUUAGUCGUCGGGUACGGCUAGUCUAUUCGGUGAUGCAGCUAACGCAUUAAACAUUCCGCCUGGGGAGUACGGUCGCAAGAUUAAAAACUCAAAGGAAUAGACGGGGACCCGCACAAGUGGUGGAGCAUGUGGUUUAAUUCGAAAAUACGCGAAGAACCUUACCUAGCCUUGACAUAUUUUAGAACCCUCCAGAGAUGGAAGAGUGCC